This 699-nucleotide ribosomal RNA is filed under the name Salmonella enterica subsp. enterica serovar Typhimurium. RNAcentral's name for it is "partial 23S ribosomal RNA". It matches the Rfam family "Bacterial large subunit ribosomal RNA", at positions 1079 to 1693 of the family's 2925-position model. The record is from RNAcentral. Lineage: Bacteria; Pseudomonadati; Pseudomonadota; Gammaproteobacteria; Enterobacterales; Enterobacteriaceae.
GAAGGCCCAGACAGCCAGGAUGUUGGCUUAGAAGCAGCCAUCAUUUAAAGAAAGCGUAAUAGCUCACUGGUCGAGUCGGCCUGCGCGGAAGAUGUAACGGGGCUAAACCAUGCACCGAAGCUGCGGCAGCGAACGUAUCACCCAAGACAACUUUACGGAGUUGACGAUUGACGGAGCGAAGCGACGUCAAAGCGUUCAUUAAAGUCGAGUUGGCUUAGGGAUACGUUCGUUGGGUAGGGGAGCGUUCUGUAAGCCUGUGAAGGUGUGUCGUGAGGCAUGCUGGAGGUAUCAGAAGUGCGAAUGCUGACAUAAGUAACGAUAAAGCGGGUGAAAAGCCCGCUCGCCGGAAGACCAAGGGUUCCUGUCCAACGUUAAUCGGGGCAGGGUGAGUCGACCCCUAAGGCGAGGCCGAAAGGCGUAGUCGAUGGGAAACGGGUUAAUAUUCCCGUACUUGGUGUUACUGCGAAGGGGGGACGGAGAAGGCUAUGUUGGCCGGGCGACGGUUGUCCCGGUUUAAGCGUGUAGGUGUGUGUUCCAGGUAAAUCCGGUUCACUUUAACACUGAGGCGUGACGACGAGGCACUACGGUGCUGAAGCAACAAAUGCCCUGCUUCCAGGAAAAGCCUCUAAGCAUCAGGUAACAUCAAAUCGUACCCCAAACCGACACAGGUGGUCAGGUAGAGAAUACCAAGGCGCUUGA